AUACAGAAGCCUCAAGCGUUACCCGGAUUCACUGGGCGUAAAGGGUUCGUAGGCGGUUAUAUCAGUCGAGUGUUAAAUCCUGAGGCCCAACCUCAGGCCCGCAUUCGAAACAGUAUAACUAGAAGAAGUGAGAGGUAAACAGAACUCAUGGUGUAGGGGUGAAAUCCGUUGAUAUCAUGGGGAAUACCAAAUGCGAAGGCAGUUUACUGGCACUUUCUUGACGCUGAGGAACGAAAGCGUGGGUAGCGAACGGGAUUAGAAACCCUAGUAGUCC
This 274-nucleotide ribosomal RNA is filed under the name uncultured bacterium. Its description in RNAcentral is "partial 16S ribosomal RNA". It matches the Rfam family "Bacterial small subunit ribosomal RNA", at positions 523 to 796 of the family's 1533-position model. The record is from RNAcentral.